UAUUCAGAAAUCAAUCAAAAUAAAUUUAAUUGUAUUCACAUGAUGGCUCUUGAGUUAUGGUUCCAUCAGGAAAUUCAAAUUAAGCCAUUACUAUUAGUGUCACUCUAUAUGGUAUCGUAUUAAUGGGCUUCCUAUUUUGUGCCACAUAAGCCAAAAUGGACAUCCAAAAGAAGAGGCAAGAAGCAAUAGGAUUACCGUUAGCUUUAGAUCCGGCCAUCUUUUUCUGAUUUAGAGUUGAGCCUAUCGGCUCACUUCCUUCUCUCUCUCCCAUGUAAAUGAGUUUGGGUUGUUUCUUUCGUGACAAAGAAUGAUCGAUCUUCUUUUGCACCAAUGGAUUAUAUCCUACACAAACUUUUUCAUUCUUCUAUUUGUAUAGAUCUCAAAACGAUCAUUAUACGAUCCAACAAUAAAUUCGUGCGGAGGAGGGUGAGUUCUUCUUUCGUAUGAAAGAUACAAUUCCUAUCGGUGCUGGAUUAGCAUC
Molecule: long non-coding RNA, 481 nt
Filed under: Elaeis guineensis (African oil palm)
Lineage: Eukaryota; Viridiplantae; Streptophyta; Magnoliopsida; Arecales; Arecaceae
Description: long non-coding RNA (EGUI_LNC025253)
Source: RNAcentral